Molecule: ribosomal RNA, 301 nt
Filed under: uncultured bacterium
Lineage: Bacteria
Description: partial 16S ribosomal RNA
Rfam family: Bacterial small subunit ribosomal RNA
Source: RNAcentral
CAGUAGCCGCGGUAAUACGAAGGGUGCAAGCGCUAAUCGGAAUUACUGGGCGUAAAGCGUGCGUAGGCGGUUUGUUAAGUCUGCUGUGAAAUCCCCGGGCUCAACCUGGGAAUGGCAGUGGAUACUGGCAAGCUAGAGUGUGUCAGAGGAUGGUGGAAUUCCCGGUGUAGCGGUGAAAUGCGUAGAGAUCGGGAGGAACAUCAGUGGCGAAGGCGGCCAUCUGGGACAACACUGACGCUGAGGCACGAAAGCGUGGGGAGCAAACAGGAUUAGAUACCCGUGUAGUCCCUGUCUCUUAUAA